Molecule: transfer RNA, 74 nt
Filed under: Candidatus Dojkabacteria bacterium
Lineage: Bacteria
Description: tRNA-Pro
Rfam family: tRNA
About the family: Transfer RNA (tRNA) molecules are approximately 80 nucleotides in length. Their secondary structure includes four short double-helical elements and three loops (D, anti-codon, and T loops).
Source: RNAcentral
CGGGGUGUAGCUCAGGUGGCUAGAGCGCUACGUUCGGGACGUAGAGGUCGUCUGUUCAAGUCAGAUCACCCCGA